This is a non-coding RNA of Carassius carassius (crucian carp), 527 nucleotides long. The record is from the annotation of a RefSeq genome assembly. Lineage: Eukaryota; Metazoa; Chordata; Actinopteri; Cypriniformes; Cyprinidae.
UCUUCAUCAACAUGACCUUCAUCAUCAUCUUCAUCUGGACUCUCACAGCGUUUGCUCAAGAGUGUAGAGGACAGAUCAGCGUCACUCAGAGUCCCUCAACGACAGCAGCUCAACCAGGAGAAACAGUGAAGAUCAACUGUAGAACCAGCACAGAUGUGUAUUACAGUAGUGGUUAUCAUCGUUUAGCCUGGUACUUACAGAAACCUGGAGAAGCUCCUAAACUCCUGAUUUAUGCUGCAAACCGCCUCCAGUCAGGAACUCCAUCUAGAUUCAGUGGCAGUGGAUCUAACAGUGAUUUCACUCUGACCAUCAGUGGAGUCCAGACUGAAGAUGCUGGACAUUAUUACUGUCAGAGUUACCACUGGAUCAACAGUAAAGAUGUGUUCACACAGUGAUUGUGAGUUGUACAAAAACCUGUGUCAGUCAGAGUCACAGUGACUGAACUGAUGCUGCAGCUGAUCAAACACUAUCACUCACUACUGACACACAGAGACCAAACACAGAACUACACAUGAGCUCACAACUGA